GAUGAACGCUGGCGGCGUGCCUAAUACAUGCAAGUCGAGCGAACAGACGAGGAGCUUGCUCCUCUGACGUUAGCGGCGGACGGGUGAGUAACACGUGGAUAACCUACCUAUAAGACUGGGAUAACUUCGGGAAACCGGAGCUAAUACCGGAUAAUAUAUUGAACCGCAUGGUUCAAUAGUGAAAGACGGUUUUGCUGCCACUUAUAGAUGGAUCCGCGCCGCAUUAGCUAGUUGGUAAGGUAACGGCUUACCAAGGCAACGAUGCGUAGCCGACCUGAGAGGGUGAUCGGCCACACUGGAACUGAGACACGGUCCAGACUCCUACGGGAGGCAGCAGUAGGGAAUCUUCCGCAAUGGGCGAUAGCCUGACGGAGCAACGCCGCGUGAGUGAUGAAGGUCUUCGGAUCGUAAAACUCUGUUAUUAGGGAAGAACAAAUGUGUAAGUAACUAUGCACGUCUUGACGGUACCUAAUCAGAAAGCCACGGCUAACUACGUG
Molecule: ribosomal RNA, 497 nt
Filed under: uncultured bacterium
Lineage: Bacteria
Description: partial 16S ribosomal RNA
Rfam family: Bacterial small subunit ribosomal RNA
Source: RNAcentral